AAAAAAAGUGUGCAGUGCAUCAACUCUUAAUUUAACGGAUUACAGUUUGAAUCGGACAGCAGCCAAACAAAUUGUGCCAGCUGAGAAACAGUUGUGAGUGGCAGUGCAGAGGAACUUCAGCAGGUGAAUUCAGAUGGAGCCCUUGGAAAGAUGAUACCCAAAAUUAUUAUUUUCGGAUAUAAAGAGGACUUGCAACUUGCAAAACAUGCGGGAAGAAAAUUACAGACGGAGGCGCAACAAUUUCCAACUUUGUUCGAUAUUUGAAGCUGCAGAAAGAACUGACCUGAGCCCUAGGCCCAUGCCUCAGGACUACCUGGCAUGAUGAUUCCUUUCUGUCCCCAGUCCACCUGGCCGUGCUGCUGCUCCAAUUUCAACUGUUCUGCCUGCGGCUAUGGAAACCUGACCUGUUCACCGGACGUGCUACCUGUCCCAGACCUGCUGUUUUCAACUCUCUAAAGACAGCAGGAGCGGUAGAGAUACUCUCACUGAUCGGCUAUGAAAAGCCAACUGACACUUACUCCUGAGGUGCUGACCUAUUGCACCCUCGACAACUACUGUGAUUAUUAUUAUUUGACCAUGCUGGUCAUUUAUGAACAUUUGAACAUCUUGGCCAUGUUCUGUUAUAAUCUCCACCUGGCACAGCCAGAAGAGGACUGGCCACCCCUCAUAGCCUGGUUCCUCUCUAGGUUUCUUCCUAGGUUUUGGCCUUUCUAGGGAGUUUUUCCUCGCCACCGUGCUUCUAUACCUGCAUUGCUUGCUGUUUGGGGUUUUAGGCUGGGUUUCUGUACAGCACUUUGAGAUAUCAGCUGAUGUAAAAAGGGCUAUAUAAAUCAAUUUCAUUUGAUUUGAUUAGUAACUGGGUAACUUCGUAAAAAAUACAUUGGCUAAAUUAAAAAAAUAUAUAUAUAGGAUACGUAUAUAAAUGGAAAGGGGGAUACCUAGUCAGUUGUACAACUGAAAUGUGUCUUCCGCAUUUAACUCAACCCCUCUGAAUCCGAGAGGUGCGGGGGGCUGCCUUAAUCGACAUCCACGUCUUCAGCGCCUGGGAAACAGUGGGUUAUCUGCCUUGCUCAGGAGCAGAACGGCAGAUUUUUAUCUUGUCAGCUCAGGGAUUCAAUCCAGCAACCUUUCGGGUACUGGCCCAACGCUCUAACCACCAGGAUAUUGUAUGUUUCUAUUAAGUGUCAUGUGCCAGGGUUGACUAUUACAGGGUCGACAACUUCAUCUUAAAUCAGCCGUAAAUCCCCUUGUGACAGGGGAAAUGGAAGCUUGUUGUGUGCAACAGGGAGGGGCAAUUGAAUGCAAGCCUCACAAAAACAAAAAACAGGGUUGAUGUGUUACGCUCGAUCCGCUCAGUUUUCCACUACAAAACACCAGAAAAUGGACAGAAAGUGUAGAACCAGCUCAACUGCUUUACACUAAGAUUUGACUAUUAGAUACGGAUGCUCAAUACAGAAGUGGUCCGAUGAAGCUGAUGCUAAGCUACAGGACUGUUUUGCUCGCACAGACUGGAAUAUAUUUCCGGAUUCAUCCGAUGGUAUUGAGGAGUUUACCACAUCAUUCACGUCUUCGUUAAUAAGUACAUUGACGACGGUGUCCCAAAAGUGACUAUAAGUACAUAUCCAAACAAGAAGUCAUGGAUUACAGGCAACAUCCCCACUGAGCUAAAGGCUAGAGCUUCCUCUUUCAAGGAGCAGGACACUAAUCAAGAUGCUUAUAAGAAAUCCCCCUAUGUGAGAAUGCUGUUCAUUGACUACAGCUCAGCGUUUAACACCAUAGUGCCCUCCAAGCUCAUCAGUAAGCUAAGGACCCUGGGACUGAACACCUCAAUUUGCAACUAGAUCCUUGACUUCCUGACGGGCCACCCUGAGGUGGUGAGGUUAGGCAACAACACAUUCGCCUUGCUGACCCUCAACACCAGUGUCCCUUAGGUGUGCGUGCUCAGUCCCCUCCUGUACUCCCUGUUCACCUCCCACUGUGUGGCCACACACAUCUACAACACCAUCAUUACAUUUGCCAAUGACACGACGUGGUAGGCUUGAUCACAGACGACAAUGAAGCAGCCUAUAGGGAGGAAGACAAGAGACCUGGCAGUGUGGUGCCAGAACAACAUCUCUCAACACGGGUAAGACAAAGGAGCUUAUCGUGGACUACAGGAACGGAGGGCCGAAUACUCCCCCAUUCACAUCAACGGGCUGUGGUAGAGCGGGUCAAGAGCUUCAAGUUCCUCUGUGUCCACAUCCCUAAGGGCCUAUCAUGGUCCAAAAACACCAACACAGUUGUGAAGAGGGCACAACAAUGCCUCUUCCCCCUCAGGAAGCUAAAGAAAUUUGGAAUGGACCUCAGAUCCUCUAAAAAGUUAUCUGUAUCCAACCAAGGAGCUACAGAGGGUAUACGGCCCAGUACAUCACUGUAGCCGAACUCCCUGCCAUCCAGGACCUCUAUACCAAGCUGUGUCAGAAGGCCAUAAAAAGUUGGCAAGACUCCAGCGAAGUCAUACUCUUCUCUCUGCUACUGCACGGUAAGCAGUUCUGGAGCGCCAAGUCUGGGACCAAAAGGCACAUGAACAGCUUCUACCCCCCAAACCAUAAGACUGCUGAAAAGUUCAUCAAAUGGCUACCCUGAAAAUGUACAUUGACCCCCUUCAUUAUGUAUUUCUUUAUCUUAAUUGAUUAGCACCAACUCCCUUGCACUGACUCUAUGCACACUCACUAGACUCUACCCACACACUCACACAUACUACACUAAAACUCCCGCACGUGCGCACACACACACACACACACACACACACACACACACACACACACACACACACACACACACACACACACACACACACACACACACACACACACACACACA
Oncorhynchus tshawytscha (Chinook salmon) is the source of this 2862-nucleotide long non-coding RNA. The record is from Ensembl. NCBI's taxonomy places the organism in Eukaryota, Metazoa, Chordata, Actinopteri, Salmoniformes, Salmonidae.